AAAAAAAAAGAGGUGACAAAGAGAAUUAAGGAUGGUGUGUAUGAGUAAAUAAUCAUUGGGCCUUGGAUUAUGGAAUGGGUUAAAUCCGAUUUAAAUUGAAGCAAACAGACGGGAAAAUAGGAAGUUUCAUCCCUCAUUACUCUCGGUCUCUCUUCUCACCUCUCUUUUUCAGGCGGUCAGAAAUCGCUCCUCCGCAUCGGGAAUCGUCCUUGGCGGUGGUGGAGGGCCAAAUAUCUUAUUCCCACGCCAUCUUCUUCAUCUUAUUCCCAUUCAUCCUCCUUUAUCCUUUAAUUUCUCUAAAUCUCAUCAUAAACGUUAGUUUUACCCUACAAAAGUUUGAACCGUAAAUAACUCAAACUGAAAUUAAAUCCAUCUCAAGCAAAGAUCGACCAAAAAAUCAUGGGGGUUUUAACCUAUGCUCUACAAGUUAUAAACAAGUAUAAAGAAAAAAUGGAAUAGAUGAAGAAAUGGUGAUCACAAGUUUACCUAUAGAAUUGAGGGGUGUUCUAGUAGUUAUUUUAGUGAAGAGCUUGAAGAAUAUGCUGAAGAAACCCAAAGAGAAACUUCAAUAUUAGGUACUACAGGCUGGCUGGUACAUGGUGUGCAUGUUGACUGGUAGGUUUGGAGGUACAUUUUGGUGGUUGGACAUGGUACAUAGCAUACAUGGAGGUUUUGCAACAUGAAGGCAACAUUGAAGGCAUGGUGAAACUGAAGAUUAGAGAAAAUAGGCUUAGGAUAAGUGUGGUCAGGCUUUGGUCAACUGUUUGACCAAAAAGUCAACAGGUGACCAAAAGUCAAUUGUGGGUCAAACAUUGACUUUCCAGGUAGUUUUCAAUUAUGCAAUGUGUUUUUUUUGGUAAUUUUGAAUAUUGAGAUGUACUCUUAAAAUACAGUCUUGACUUGCGCCUUGUACUUCAAAUAAUAAAAUACUUUGCCUUUUCCCUUGAA
Molecule: long non-coding RNA, 948 nt
Organism: Lathyrus oleraceus (garden pea)
Lineage: Eukaryota; Viridiplantae; Streptophyta; Magnoliopsida; Fabales; Fabaceae
Exons: 2
Source: RefSeq, a predicted model, not a curated record